UACGUAGGGUGCGAGCGUUAAUCGGAAUUACUGGGCGUAAAGCGUGCGCAGGCGGUUCGACAAGUCUGAUGUGAAAUCCCCGGGCUCAACCUGGGAAUGGCGUUUGGGACUGGGAGUCUGGAGUACGGCAGAGGAGACUGGAAUUCCUGGUGUAGCAGUGAAAUGCGUAGACAUCAGGAGGAACACCGAUGGCGAAGGCAGGUCUCUGGGCUGAUACUGACGCUCAUGCACGAAAGCGUGGGGAGCAAACAGG
This 253-nucleotide ribosomal RNA is filed under the name uncultured bacterium. Its description in RNAcentral is "partial 16S ribosomal RNA". It matches the Rfam family "Bacterial small subunit ribosomal RNA", at positions 524 to 776 of the family's 1533-position model. The record is from RNAcentral.